RNAcentral lists this non-coding RNA (84 nucleotides) under Pelagibacterium sp. RNAcentral's name for it is "ZTP sequence". It matches the Rfam family "ZMP/ZTP riboswitch aptamer (pfl RNA motif)". From Rfam's summary of the family: Previously known as pfl RNA. ZMP is also known as AICAR. Lineage: Bacteria; Pseudomonadati; Pseudomonadota; Alphaproteobacteria; Hyphomicrobiales; Devosiaceae. RNAcentral also lists the same sequence under 1 other name. The record is from RNAcentral.
AGCCGUUCGCGCGACUGGCGAGAAAGAGAUGGGCAACCAUCGGGGAACGCGAACCUUGUAGAGCCGCUCGCCUGGGCACCCAUC